Molecule: non-coding RNA, 410 nt
Organism: Myodes glareolus (Bank vole)
Lineage: Eukaryota; Metazoa; Chordata; Mammalia; Rodentia; Cricetidae
Source: RefSeq, a predicted model, not a curated record
CACAUACACACACACACAUACACACACACACACACACACACACACACACACACACGAUCUUAGCAAUGACCCUUGCUGUUAGGCAUAGUCCAGGGUGACUCAGACUCACAGCAUGGACCUCCUCUUAAGCAAACACAAGGCCAUAGUCACACUGUGACACACCAGCCCACACACAACAGCCAAACUUGGCCUGGCAGGCCCUCACAUCAGUGCAGUACCCAGGUAUGCACAGACAGGCUUUCACACAAAUUCAGCCCAUUUCUCCAGAUCCUGUUUGGGGAGGGGGGUAAGUUAUGCACUUAUAAGGUGUUUUCUGUGUAAUCAUUUUAUAAAGUGCUUGUGUAAUUUAUGUGGAAAGAGAAUAAAACCCUCCGGUUCAGGAGUCGGGCGUCUGCUCCUUGCUGAGUCCA